Molecule: ribosomal RNA, 308 nt
Filed under: uncultured bacterium
Lineage: Bacteria
Description: bacterial SSU rRNA
Rfam family: Bacterial small subunit ribosomal RNA
Source: RNAcentral
AUAAGGAGUCGGCGGACGGGUGCGUAAAAGAUGGGAAUCUACCUAUUAGUAAGGGAUAAGAGUAAUCUAAAUACCUUAUAAUAUCGAAAGAUAAAAAGAUUAAUCGCUAAUAGAUGAGCCUAUGUUGGAUUAGGUAGUUGGUGGGGUAAAGCUUACCAAGCCGAUGAUCCAUAGCUGGUUUGAAAGAAUGAACAGCCACAUUGGCACUGAGACAAGGGUCAAGCCUCGUAGGAGGACAGCAGUGAGGAAUAUUGGACAAUCUGUGAAAACAGGAUCCAGCCAUGACGCGUGGGUGUGACAGCGCAAUG